This 274-nucleotide ribosomal RNA is filed under the name uncultured bacterium. RNAcentral's name for it is "partial 16S ribosomal RNA". It matches the Rfam family "Bacterial small subunit ribosomal RNA", at positions 523 to 796 of the family's 1533-position model. The record is from RNAcentral.
AUACAGAGGGUGCAAGCGUUAAUCGGAAUCACUGGGCGUAGAGGGUCUGUAGGCGGUUUGGCAAGUUGGUUGUGAAAUCUCCCGGCUUAACUGGGAGCGUGCGACCAAAACUGCUGAACUGGAGGAUCGGAGAGGCAGGUAGAAUUCCUGGUGUAGCGGUGAAAUGCGUAGAGAUCAGGAGGAAUACCGGUGGCGAAGGCGGCCUGCUGGACGAUACCUGACGCUGAAAGACGAAAGCUGGGGGAGCAAACAGGAUUAGAAACCCCGGUAGUCC